GACGAACCGUGCGAACGUUAUUCGGAAUCACUGGGCUUAAAGGGCGCGUAGGCGGGUCCGUUAGUCAGGGGUGAAAGCCCACGGCCCAACCGUGGAAGUGCCUCUGAUACUGCGGGCCUCGAGGGGGAUAGGGGCGUGCGGAACUCAGGGUGGAGCGGUGAAAUGCGUAGAUAUCCUGAGGAACACCGGUGGCGAAAGCGGCGCGCUGGAUCCCUUCUGACGCUGAGGCGCGAAAGCCAGGGGAGCAAACGGG
Molecule: ribosomal RNA, 253 nt
Filed under: uncultured bacterium
Lineage: Bacteria
Description: partial 16S ribosomal RNA
Rfam family: Bacterial small subunit ribosomal RNA
Source: RNAcentral